Molecule: unclassified non-coding RNA, 484 nt
Filed under: Hevea brasiliensis (rubber tree)
Lineage: Eukaryota; Viridiplantae; Streptophyta; Magnoliopsida; Malpighiales; Euphorbiaceae
Source: RNAcentral
UGUUAAAUGAUAUUCAACAAAAAUAAAACUAAAACCUAUGAGAAGAAAGAGAAUAAAAUGAAAAUCAAGAACUCAUGAUGUAUAGAAAUAAACACUGUGGGCAAGUUAAUAUGGGGAUAGGCAAAAAUACCAAAAGAAAGAGUAAGUUCAAUUGAGAAUUUUUUUCGAUAUGCAUCAUCUAUUUGGGUUUUUACCAGAUCCAAAUGUUUGUAUGUUCAUUUUCUUCAGUAAAUUUUUUGAUUCAUGUUUUGAUUGUAAUUUGCUAAUGUUGUUGCAACUUGCCUGUAAAAGACAUGUUAAGACUUUCAUUUUCGAAGGUUUUUGUUUUGUAUAGAAACUCAUUCUUUUCUAGUUUCUAAAUUAUCCUAAUGACAAACUGUCAAUAUUUAAUGUGUGGGAACAUCUUUUAUAACAAAUUAAAAGCAAUGAUAAUGGAAGGAAGCAUGUUAUUUAUUGCAGUUGAUGUUUUUGUGCAGCCAAGUCA